AGUGAACGCUGGCGGCGUGCUUAACACAUGCAAGUCGAACGAGAACGGAUUAUAGCUUGCUAUAAUUGUCAGCUAAGUGGCGCACGGGUGAGUAAUGUAUAGGUAAUAUGCCUCUUACUAAGGGAUAACAAAUGGAAACGUUUGCUAAUACCUUAUACUUCUUAUUAACAGAAGUUAAUAAGGGAAAGAUUUAUUGGUAAGAGAUUAGACUGUAUUGUAUCAGUUAGUUGGUGGGGUAAGGGCUUACCAAGACUAUGACACAUAACUGGUUUGAGAGGAUGAUCAGUCACACUGGAACUGAGACACGGUCCAGACUCCUACGGGAGGCAGCAGUGGGGAAUAUCGCACAAUGGACGAAAGUCUGAUGCAGCAACGCCGCGUGGAGGAUGACACAUUUCGGUGCGUAAACUCCUUUUAUAUGAGAAGAUAAUGACGGUAUUAUAUGAAUAAGCACCGGCUAACUCCGUGCCAGCCGCCGCAGUAA
RNAcentral lists this ribosomal RNA (484 nucleotides) under uncultured bacterium. RNAcentral describes it as "partial 16S ribosomal RNA". It matches the Rfam family "Bacterial small subunit ribosomal RNA", at positions 29 to 523 of the family's 1533-position model. The record is from RNAcentral.